RNAcentral lists this long non-coding RNA (1037 nucleotides) under Fragaria vesca (wild strawberry). RNAcentral's name for it is "long non-coding RNA (FVES_LNC004520)". Lineage: Eukaryota; Viridiplantae; Streptophyta; Magnoliopsida; Rosales; Rosaceae. The record is from RNAcentral.
CAGUUAACAUUAUUCAUGGAAAUUUGAUUAAUAGUAGAAUAGAAAGAAGGAAAAAGAAGAGAGAACACUUCAUCAUCAUCAGAAGGAAAAAAAGAGAGGGAGGGACUCGCUCGAGUAAAAGGAAGGAAAGAAGAAAAGAAUUGAGGGAAAAAAGAAAUAAGAAGAGUGGACCAUUGGAUCUCUUAUAGCCACGUGCCUUCAUCUGCUUCAAAGCUUAGGAAGCUUAGGUAAAAACAAAGCUCAGGAGAGGAUCCGGAUGCAAUCAGGUUAGUUCACAACUCCGAAUCUUUUCUUUUGAACGAAAAUAUCAAUUUGAUUCUUCCCUAUUAAGCUUUCUCCCUUCUUUGUAUCAUUUUGGGUCCUCAUUUCUUUUUUUUUGAGAGAGAAUAGUUCUAAUGUAUGUUCCCAGUUCAUCUUUCUGCUUUUGUUUUCUUUUCAAACUGUUGUUUGGCCUUUUCAUAAAGUCGGGAUUCCUUGAAUUUCUGCUUUACUUCUUCCUGUUCUUGAAAUGGUGAUGAUCGGAAUUAAGGGUUCUGUAGCGGUUUGAUUGUGUUGAAUAUUCAGCUUGUCCAUGAGAAGGCUUUAUUCCACUCAUGGCUAUACACUGUCUCCUAAAUUGUUGCAGGAAUAUGGACACGAUGCCUCUAUUAUUAUUUUUUCACAAGUAGUGAACCAGCUCGUGAUUGAUCCGCUUUGCAGAUUUUUUUACUUCUCUCAUCUACUCUCAUCUCUUGCCCAUCUUUUAAAUGAUGUACUGACAAUGAAAGGCUGGACUAGGUCAUUACGUACCAAAUAGAGAGGUAAAAAGAGACAACCAGCCAGCCAUAAGGCAAGUAAUACUAAAAUUGGGAUGUCAAUAAUAAAGAGAGGUAAAAAGAGACAACCAGCCAGCCAUAAGGCAAGUAAUACUAAAAUUGGGAUGUCAAUAAUAAGUAUUAGCACAAGGCACAAGUAAGGACUUGAUGUGUACGAGUGACUUGUGAACUGGCACAGUCUACAUAUUUUGAGUAUAAAUAGAGCUUCAAAGCGCAGAGAAG